Molecule: non-coding RNA, 657 nt
Organism: Myodes glareolus (Bank vole)
Lineage: Eukaryota; Metazoa; Chordata; Mammalia; Rodentia; Cricetidae
Source: RefSeq, a predicted model, not a curated record
CGAAUAUUCCUUUCCCCAGUAGGUAUUUUUCUUUAAUUUAAACCAUUGUUUGGUUCCUGGUAAAAGACCACCAGCACACUCCAGCUAGAAAAGCAGAUCAGUGCCUUGCUCAGCCAUCAUCAGAGAAGCUUCGUCCUGCCACAGAUGGGUACAAACACAGAGACGCACAGCCAGAUGCUACACAGAGAGUGGAAAAGACCUUGGUACACUCAACCCUAAAUGGAUGUCUCUAUCAAAUCCCUCCCCUCAGGGCUCAGGGAACCCUAUAGGAGAGGAGGCAGAAAAAAAAAAUCCCUCUGCUCCCUCUGAAACGAGAGAGAAGCCAAAAUUUCUCUACUUGAAGAUUGGUCAUGGAAACCAGAUCUCUCUCCAUCUACUAAUGCCUCAAAACAUUAAGAGAUCACUGGCCCACUGCUCCCUUUCUCCUCAAAACACCCCGAGUGACAGCGGUCCUGCCCCACCAAGGAGAAAGAAAGGCCACCCUGAGAUGCUCAGAGGACUCCAGCAGACAAGCUCCCCGCCGUCAUCAUCAGUUAGACUCAUUUUAUCAGUAACCAUUCUCUAUCACACAAGCAGGAAAGGAGACAGCUUUUCCUCACCUCACAGGUUUUUUUCCCUGAAGAAUUCCUUGUUACAUAAAAUUCUGGUUUAAAAACA